RNAcentral lists this microRNA precursor (80 nucleotides) under Nannospalax galili (Upper Galilee mountains blind mole rat). Its description in RNAcentral is "miRNA (ENSNGAG00000006096.1)". Lineage: Eukaryota; Metazoa; Chordata; Mammalia; Rodentia; Spalacidae. The record is from RNAcentral.
CCGCGCCUCGGGCAGAGGAGGGCUGUUCUUCCCUUGGGUUUGAUGACUGGGAGGAACUAGUCCUCUCUGCUUAGGAGCGG